Molecule: transfer RNA, 140 nt
Filed under: Anaerolinea sp.
Lineage: Bacteria; Bacillati; Chloroflexota; Anaerolineae; Anaerolineales; Anaerolineaceae
Description: tRNA-OTHER
Rfam family: tRNA
About the family: Transfer RNA (tRNA) molecules are approximately 80 nucleotides in length. Their secondary structure includes four short double-helical elements and three loops (D, anti-codon, and T loops).
Source: RNAcentral
GCCAAGGUAGCUCAGGUGGUAGAGCAGCACGCGCGCAAGCGCGAAACUCUGCGCGGCGUUCUCCGCUCCGGCGGUAGUGAGAUGCAGGGUUACUUCGACUUUUAAUCGGCUGGUCGUGGGUUCGAAUCCCACCCUUGGCU